CCUACGGGAGGCUGCAGUGAGGAAUAUUGGUCAAUGGACGAGAGUCUGAACCAGCCAAGUAGCGUGAAGGAUGAAUGCCCUCUGGGUUGUAAACUUCUUUUAUAUGGGAAUAAAUUGUUCCACGUGUGGGAUUUUGUAUGUACCAUAUGAAUACGGAUCGGCUAACUCCGUGCCAGCAGCCGCGGUAAUACGGAGGAUCCGAGCGUUAUCCGGAUGUAUUGGGUUUAAAGGGAGCGUAGGUGGAUUGUUAAGUCAGUUGUGAAAGUUUGCGGCUCAACCGUAAAAUUGCAGUUGAAACUGGCAGUCUUGAGUACAGUAGAGGUGGGCGGAAUUCGUGGUGUAGCGGUGAAAUGCUUAGAUAUCACGAAGAACUCCGAUUGCGAAGGCAGCCCACUGGACUGCAACUGACACUGAGGCUCGAAAGUGUGGGUAUCAAACAGGAUUAGAUACCCCUGUAGUC
RNAcentral lists this ribosomal RNA (460 nucleotides) under uncultured bacterium. RNAcentral describes it as "partial 16S ribosomal RNA". It matches the Rfam family "Bacterial small subunit ribosomal RNA", at positions 338 to 795 of the family's 1533-position model. The record is from RNAcentral.